RNAcentral lists this ribosomal RNA (495 nucleotides) under uncultured bacterium. RNAcentral's name for it is "partial 16S ribosomal RNA". It matches the Rfam family "Bacterial small subunit ribosomal RNA", at positions 28 to 505 of the family's 1533-position model. The record is from RNAcentral.
GAUGAACGCUGGCGGCGUGCCUAAUACAUGCAAGUCGAGCGAACAGACGAGGAGCUUGCUCCUCUGACGUUAGCGGCGGACGGGUGAGUAACACGUGGAUAACCUACCUAUAAGACUGGGAUAACUUCGGGAAACCGGAGCUAAUACCGGAUAAUAUAUUGAACCGCAUGGUUCAAUAGUGAAAGACGGUUUUGCUGUCACUUAUAGAUGGAUCCGCGCCGCAUUAGCUAGUUGGUAAGGUAACGGCUUACCAAGGCGACGAUGCGUAGCCGACCUGAGAGGGUGAUCGGCCACACUGGAACUGAGACACGGUCCAGACUCCUACGGGAGGCAGCAGUAGGGAAUCUUCCGCAAUGGGCGAAAGCCUGACGGAGCAACGCCGCGUGAGUGAUGAAGGUCGUCGGAUCGUAAAACUCUGUUAUUAGGGAAGAACAAAUGUGUAAGUAACUAUGCACGUCUUGACGGUACCUAAUCAGAAGGCCACGGCUAACUACG